AGCUUUGUGCUGUGGCGGUAUUAUAGCUUAUGAGGUUUAACCAAGGCACUGUCAUUUCUUAUUGAAAACUUUACCCUCGACCUUGCUCUCCUGAUUUGUAAUCUAAUCAGUCACAGCAAUUUUUGAUAAUUUUCUUCAGAG
Stegostoma tigrinum is the source of this 141-nucleotide small nuclear RNA. RefSeq annotates it as U4 spliceosomal RNA. The record is from RefSeq and is a predicted model, not a curated record. The transcript has a single exon. NCBI's taxonomy places the organism in Eukaryota, Metazoa, Chordata, Chondrichthyes, Orectolobiformes, Stegostomatidae.